AUGAACGCUGGCGGCGUGCCUAAUACAUGCCAGUCGCGCGAACAGACGAGGAGCUUGCUCCUCUGACGUUAGCGGCGGACGGGUGAGUAACACGUGGAUAACCUACCUAUAAGACUGGGAUAACUUCGGGAAACCGGAGCUAAUACCGGAUAAUAUAUUUAACCGCAUGGUUCAAUAGUGAAAGACGGUUUUGCUGUCACUUAUAGAUGGAUCCGCGCCGCAUUAGCUAGUUGGUAAGGUAACGGCUUACCAAGGCGACGAUGCGUAGCCGACCUGAGAGGGUGAUCGGCCACACUGGAACUGAGACACGGUCCAGACUCCUACGGGAGGCAGCAGUAGGGAAUCUUCCGCAAUGGGCGAAAGCCUGACGGAGCAACGCCGCGUGAGUGAUGAAGGUCUUCGGAUCGUAAAACUCUGUUAUUAGGGAAGAACAAAUGUGUAAGUAACUAUGCACGUCUUGACGGUACCUAAUCAGAAAGCCACGGCUAACUACGUG
Molecule: ribosomal RNA, 496 nt
Filed under: uncultured bacterium
Lineage: Bacteria
Description: partial 16S ribosomal RNA
Rfam family: Bacterial small subunit ribosomal RNA
Source: RNAcentral